Molecule: ribosomal RNA, 491 nt
Filed under: uncultured bacterium
Lineage: Bacteria
Description: bacterial SSU rRNA
Rfam family: Bacterial small subunit ribosomal RNA
Source: RNAcentral
GUGGCGCACGGGUGAGUAAUGUAUAGGUAAUAUGCCUCUUACUAAGGGAUAACAAAUGGAAACGUUUGCUAAUACCUUAUACUCCUUAUUAACCUAAGUUAAUAAGGGAAAGAUUUAUUGGUAAGAGAUUAGCCUGUAUUGUAUCAGUUAGUUGGUGGGGUAAUGGCCUACCAAGACUAUGACACAUAACUGGUCUGAGAGGAUGAUCAGUCACACUGGAACUGAGACACGGUCCAGACUCCUACGGGAGGCAGCAGUGGGGAAUAUUGCGCAAUGGACGAAAGUCUGAUGCAGCGACGCCGCGUGGAGGAUGACACAUUUCGGUGCGUAAACUCCUUUUAUAUGAGAAGAUAAUGACGGUAUUAUAUGAAUAAGCACCGGCUAACUCCGUGCCAGCAGCCGCGGUAAUACGGGGGGUGCAAGCGUUACUCGGAAUCACUGGGCGUAAAGAGCAUGUAGGCGGAUUAAUAAGUUUGAAGUGAAAUCCUAUA